CCCAAUAGCCCAACAAAAAGCCCAGGUUUUCCCCGGGUAGCCUUGGGAGGAGGGAAAGAAGCAGUGGUUUUCUAGGAAUGGUAAUACAGGGUAGGAUAGGAUUGUCUGUCUUUGGUACAAUAAGAAUCUUCAUCGGUAUCAUAUUUUGCCAUUUUGUAGCUAUAUAUAUUCUUAGUUGAAAUGAUAAAUAUUUGCAGCCAUUAGAGAAUUUAAAAGCAGGCAGAAAAUUAUAAAAAAGUAAAAACCUAGGUUCAUAGGAAAAUUUGCUGGCUUCCUUGGACUCAUUAAGCUAAUCAGCAAUAUUAAUUGAAUCAAAGGACUUCAAACCUAUCUAGCACAUAAAAGUGAAGGGAUAAAAAUCCUUCAAUCUAUGACCAUCCAAUAAGCAUCCCCACUUUGAAAAGUUCAGUUUUUAUGACCAUAUGCUAACACUUUACUAGUUAUAGAUGCAAUUUCAAUAUGGAAACAUUUAAAGCAACCAUGUGGGAAGCAUGGUUACUGUAGCUUGCUGCUUUAUGUUCGUUAGAAAGAAGGAAUUCAAGAAAAAGAGACUUUCCUACUUCCCUCUCAACAACCAAUUCAUAAUAAAUGCAUCUUCUUUUCCACCUAUAUAUUAUAUUGUACUGAAAGAUGCUAUGUGAAUUAUGAAAGUGUUUUUCCAAUCAGCCUCUCAAUCAAGCAUUCAAGAAACAGAAAGAUGAGUAGUGAAGCACCAGCACACCAACAAAUGUCCUACUAUGACCACGUCCAGAAACGCCAUGACGAGAAAGGUUGCCUUUAUGCCUGGCUGUUCACGUUGUGUUGCUGCUGUUGCUGCUACGAGACUUGCGAAUGCUGCUUAGAUGGGGUCUGCUGUUGCUGUUCUUAGAUUUCUUUCAUUCCUAUACUAAAUUUAUUGGUUUUGGAACCAAGUUUCUUGUUUCAUGAAAACUUUCUUAAAAGAAAAAAUUCGAUGUGAACAGAGUCUUUCAAUCCCAAGGCCUUUUUUUAUUUUUUAUUUUUUAUUUUUGCUAUUUAGUUGAUUGUUGUACCCAUGUAUCAAACUGCCUCUAAUGAGCAAACAAGUUUGGGACA
RNA transcript from Ziziphus jujuba (common jujube), 1074 nucleotides. RefSeq lists it as uncharacterized. Lineage: Eukaryota; Viridiplantae; Streptophyta; Magnoliopsida; Rosales; Rhamnaceae. The record is from RefSeq and is a predicted model, not a curated record. The transcript has 2 exons.